GGAACUAGCUAACUGAAAUCAAUUAUAAUAAUUGAUAACAUAAGGGAAAAUAAUGAUAUUACCUUAUUAUUAGUGUCGUCAAAAACUGGUGCCAGAAGACUCGGUAAGGCCUGAGACACAAACGUUAAUCGUCUUAAUCAGGCGUAAAGGGUUUGUAGGCGGCUUUUAAAUUAACUUAUUAAUAAAAAUAAAAAUAAAAUAAAUAAGUUAAGAAUAAAAGCUAGAAUCAAAUAGAGGAUAUAUCAAAUAAUGCUUAGAGUAGGUCUGAUAUCCUUAGAUACUAAGUAGAAUAUUAAAGGCGAAAGCUUUUUUCCAUUAAUGAUUGACGCUCAGAAACGAAGGUGAGGAUAGGAAAUAGGAUUAGAUACCCAAAAUACCCCUCUCUGUCAACGAUGAAUGGUAGUUAUUAGUAAUAAUUUAUUAAUGGCAAUGUUAACACGAUAACCAUUCCGCCUUGUGAGUACAACUGCAAAGUUGAAAACAAAAAAAUUAGUCGGUUUCGGAGCAAACGAAGUGAAGCAUGUUAUUUAAUAAAAUAUAACCCGGAAAUGGG
This 553-nucleotide ribosomal RNA is filed under the name Russula sp. Its description in RNAcentral is "SSU rRNA". It matches the Rfam family "Bacterial small subunit ribosomal RNA", at positions 409 to 985 of the family's 1533-position model. The record is from RNAcentral. Lineage: Eukaryota; Fungi; Basidiomycota; Agaricomycetes; Russulales; Russulaceae.